UGAGCAAACCAAGGCUUGGAGAGGUUAGGUAACUUAGCCAGUUUUGUGGGCUGGUGUUAGGAGAGGUCCAAUUCUGUGGGACCCCAAAGCCUGUGUUGUCUUCUUUCAGCUAUACAUCUCACCCAAAUUUGGGAUUUGUUUCUUAGCCUUUUAGGUGCUAUUACCAGGAAAGUGGUGGGAAGGACCCUGAGAAGAAGCAGUCCCCAAGAACAAGGGGUUAGAAUAUUUUAGGGGGCGGUAUUGUUGUUUGUUAGCUUAGCUCUCUGCACCUGCAGGGCCCUUUGGCUGUAUGUUCAUCAUUUUCUCAUCAGCUCGAAGGAAGUGCUGACCAGGGAGGUAGUAGGAAUCAAUAUAUAAAAGAAGCUCCAGUCAAACCAAUUAAUUAGUUCUUUCUCUUAGAGAACGCUUCUCUCCAACAACUGCUUUCACGUUGCUACUUCCUACUCUAGCUUUGUACAUUUUAUCAAGGCUCUUAGAAAUAAUUACCCCGAAGAUAGGUCCCGAAUAUCUCUGACUCUGCUCUAGCCCAGGGAAAAUAAUGUUCUAGAGUUACUCUACCUUUUGAUUCUUGAUUGCUCUGAAGCCAGAUCAGUGUCCAUGUGUGCAUGGGAUCAGUGUGUGUGUGUGGGUGUGUGUUCUUGUGGUACCGUGUUCUCAAGGCAAUAUGUAAUUAGCCACAGUUAGCCAUGGUUGACUUUUGCAAGGUUCUCCAUGUAGUUUCAGUUCCAUCAGAGAAGUCAUUAGCACAGGUGAGGGUGUUGAGGGCAGCACCAGGACUGAUAGGCAGUUCCUGGAAGUUCCCAAGGAGAAGGAGAUGCACCUGCUGCAUCGUCUCCCUUUACCCACUGCACACUUUGCUGCAGAUCUUCCUGUCCCAGAUCUACCUAGGAGGGCUCCUAACCAUAUCCUCUUCAUCCAAAUAGUGAACAGACAGUUGAGAGCUAACUGGCUGCCAAGUGAUUUACCUGCAUUAAAUGACUUGAUCCUUAUCUGUGAAGUUAGGAAAAAUGAUUCUUAUUAAUUUUACCAAUGAGGAAACCAUGACCCUGGCUGGUUAAUAAUUGGCCCUAGCUCAUAAACUGAGGGGCUGGGAUUCAAAUACUGGACUGAUUCCUAGUUGAGGCUUUAUUGAGGGAGGAUGUAGUAAACCUUAUUUAUUUUUUAAUCACUAGGAAAAUAUAGCAUAGCCUUGAAACAUCAAACACACAGGCUAUGUUAUUAUUUUAAGUAAUAGGUAGUAGAAAGGAAACAAGAUCCUAAUCAGCAUGAUGCCAGUGCUGAGGAAGGACGAUGGCAUGGCCCAGAGGCCUCUGGCCUGACAGGAAGUGGUAUUUGGUAAAGCUGCCCCUCCUUUGAACUGAGGGAUCCAUAGCUUCCUUGUGGUCAUUGUUGCCGGGGCAUCUUCACAGGGGCUCUGCAAUUUCAGGGGGCUAAGUAAGCUAUGCUUGCCACGCUUAGAUUCUCAUUCCAUUUACUUGGGAAAAAACAAACAGAUAAAAAACAGAUCUCCCCAAAUUCAGUGCUUUACAACUCGUCCUAAUUAAGGAGGCAAGAAUCUAAGUUAUACUGUUCAUUCCCAGACCCUGAUACAUAUUAUAAUUCAAAUCCCCUUUCCUUUCAAGGGCAAAGAGUCACUGCCCUUCACAUCAUUCUCUUGCAGAACAGCAGAGGAAGACAGGGUCAGAGACCAUCAUGGCAGCUGGUGAGAGGGAAGCUCUGCUUCCCAAACCAGUGUGACAUGUGCCUCUCGUGUAUCAUGUGGGGUCCAGGCUGAAAAAUGUGAUGGGCAGGAACCUCAAGAAAAGCAAGGCCGUGCCUUAGUAGCAAGAAAGUCGCAUCCAUCAGGAGCCUCUCAAAGCUCUAAUCUUGACCGCUCCUCCCUUAGCUCCAUAUCUUAAUCAAUUUCAGGCCCUUGAAUAUUAAUAUAAAAGCAAAGCAAAGCAAAAAUACCCCCCAAAUAUUCUCUCUUCAACUUAGAUAUAACCUCAUGGCUGUUGCUUCAUGACCAAGGAAAAUGGUGUGGUGGUACUGCUGGUUGGCAACAAACACAAUUACCCCUCUUCAGACUACACCAGGUCACAGGCAGGUGAAGGGAAGCUGCCAGCCUGUUGCUACCUGUUUACCAACAGCAAUCUGGUACCUCAGAGGGCUCUCGCUUGGUAUGAUGGGGGAGAUCCGCAGUGUCAAAACAAACUCUCAUUACAUGAAAUCUGGGCUCUAGAAAAAUCUUGUGUUAGCCCUUACCUAAAUUUAGCACCUUCUUCUGUUUCCAUUUCUAUGGAUUAAAAUGCAUAAUGGAGCCAAGCAUCCAGUGGCAACUUACAUAUUAUUUAAAUUUGCUGUAAUUCUUGACUCCAUCAUUUCUUAGUUUUGCUUAAAAGAUAAAGAUGCUUUUAUUUUCAAUAGACUCCUGCUCCCAUCCCUGGUGGGCAAAAUUUCUCAUUCCCCAAUGAAUGAGAGAGAGAAAACCCUUUAUAUAUUUGAUCAUGGAAGUAAUGUGGUUUAUAUGCUUACCUGCAUACUUGCUCCCUACAUCCAUCAAGUCGUUGGUUUUGUUGUUGUAACGCAGGUGCACCAGGCUGGCUGGUCCUGGAGUUUCUCCACCUGGCAGGUCAGCAUGACCUGAGCACAGCAGCACUCCAUGCACUGGAGUUUCUACUGCAUGGAGUCCUAUUUGCCCCAUAGCAACUGCGCUGCAUGGGAGUACAUGGCCCUGCAUCCUGCUGAUGUUGCCUUUCCAGACGCUCCACCACGGGAGCUACUGCCACCUGGAUAAAACCCUGUUCUGUGCCCGCCUCUGAGGUGCCCAGGUGGACUCAGGAGGGUGACCCUCCUCCUUCAUAGCACCUUCGCAGAUCAUCAAAGUCAUUGCCCCAGUGCCAAUGCUUUCUGUCACCCUGCCGUAGUGCAACUGGGAAGUUGCUAGCUUAGCAACGACAGCAAUACAAUCCUCACAGUAUUUUAGGAUACCUGUAAUUCUGAAGCUUUGGUAGUUAUUAGUAGUCAUAAAAAUCGCUAUUCUCUAUACAUUCUUUUCUUAAUAUAGCAAGUAUUAUUUCAAACAUUUAUUCUUAUAAAAUGGAACUACUUACAUAGCUAGGUGAGUUGAAAUGAUUCAUGUUAGUGAAAAGACAUAAGACAAAAAUAUUCCUUUUACUUAGAGAUGAUCCUCACCUAUGAUUGUGGAUGCAAUAUUCAGUAUUGUCUUUUCUUUUGGGGGGAUGCUUUCAAAGCUCCUUAAAUUAAAUCAGGUUUUAAAAAAUGAGUUUCAGAAUAUUGGCUGUGACUUAGGUAUCAUAGUAUGGCUUAGACAGUGACAGUAGUUUAAAUGUAGUAA
RNAcentral lists this long non-coding RNA (3337 nucleotides) under Canis lupus familiaris (dog). Its description in RNAcentral is "lncRNA (ENSCAFG00000051947.1)". The record is from RNAcentral. Lineage: Eukaryota; Metazoa; Chordata; Mammalia; Carnivora; Canidae.